AUCAAUAAGCGGAGGAAAAGAAACCAACAGGGAUUGCCUCAGUAACGGCGAGUGAAGCGGCAAAAGCUCAAAUUUGAAAUCCCCCCGGGGAGUUGUAAUUUGAAGAUUGCGUCUUGGAGGCGACCGUGUCUAUGUUCCUUGGAACAGGACGUCACAGAGGGUGAGAAUCCCGUGCGGCACGGCCCCCGGCUCCUUAUAAGGCGCUCUCGACGAGUCGAGUUGUUUGGGAAUGCAGCUCAAAGUGGGUGGUAAAUUCCAUCUAAAGCUAAAUACAGGCGAGAGACCGAUAGCGAACAAGUACAGUGAUGGAAAGAUGAAAAGCACUUUGAAAAGAGAGUGAAACAGCACGUGAAAUUGUUGAAAGGGAAGGGCAUGCCGUCAGAUUGUCAGUGUGGGUAAGAAGCGGGGUACAAAGACUGUGGAACGUGGCCCUCGGGUGUUAUAGCCGCAGUUCAUGCCCCGUCUCUUUCCGAGGCCUGCUUUGAGGACACCGACGUAAUGACGGUACGCCGCCCGUCUUGAAACACGG
RNAcentral lists this ribosomal RNA (529 nucleotides) under Kodamaea sp. YS 85. RNAcentral's name for it is "eukaryotic LSU rRNA". It matches the Rfam family "Eukaryotic large subunit ribosomal RNA", at positions 42 to 664 of the family's 3401-position model. The record is from RNAcentral. Lineage: Eukaryota; Fungi; Ascomycota; Pichiomycetes; Serinales; Debaryomycetaceae.